Lemur catta (Ring-tailed lemur) is the source of this 3376-nucleotide long non-coding RNA. RefSeq lists it as uncharacterized. The record is from RefSeq and is a predicted model, not a curated record. The transcript has 3 exons. Lineage: Eukaryota; Metazoa; Chordata; Mammalia; Primates; Lemuridae.
GCUGUCCCUUCCACAACGGCUUUGUCAAACAUCGAUUCACACGAGCCAGUGUCAACAGAGGACAGUGCAGGACUGGCCUUGACAGCCAUGCUGGGGCCGGGGUGACCGGUCCCGGAGCCCACGUGGGCAGAGGGCAGCCCAGCAGGGGAGGGGCCCCUGAGCCCAGCCCCAGAAACGCGGGCUGCGGGGGCUCCCCAGCCCAGGGGGGACCCGGCCCCUGCUUUCCUCUCGCGGUUCCUUCUGCACAGGCAGAAAGAGCACCUGAGCCCCACUUUGCAGGGAUGUGGCCAAGAGUGGGAGGAAGUGCUGUCUUUCUGGAAACUUCUUUCCCAGCGAGAGGAUGUGUAAAGCCUGGGGACAAGCUCCAACUUGGCGCUGGUCUUCUCCGUUGAUUACCCAGCAGCCAGGGUGAUGUAGGAUCCGGCAGCUCCUUCCUCUGAGCCGUUUCCUGCUGUGAAAUCUGAAAACAGAGAGUGGCAACACCGGGCCUGGGCUGGGGCAAAGCACCAGUGUGCGCUGUCCCACCCCCUGCUCACGCGUGCUGCCUGGCUCUGCACACACACGGGGCAGAUGAGGAAACGGAGGUUCAGAGAGGACCAGGAAACUGCCUGAGCGGAGGGAGGCGAGGCCAGGAUGCGCAGCUCAGUCAUCUGCAGCCCACACGCCGCCGACGGCUUCCGUGCGUGGCCAUCUGUCUUCCAGAAACCCUCUGGCAGCGGGACGAGCAGAUGACACGGAGGCGUUCACUCUCCGAAACCCGCUUGAGAGUCAAAACACUGCUGACGAGGCUGCGGGGCUGUGCUGGCCCUCGGGUGCCCGUCAGAGCUCUGGCACAGCCUGCGGCCCCAGGCCCGGCUCAGCCCCUGGCUGGCGGUGUGGCCCCCAAGCACGUCCCUGCCCCUCCAUGCCCGGCGUCCUCUCUGCUGGAGACCCCAGGCCCCCUCCGGCCCUGUCCACGUCCACUUCUGCACCCAGCCCAGCCCUGCUUGGCAGGCAGGGGAAGACGUGGGGCCGUCUGUCCUCAAAGAGGAGGGCGGUGGGACAGGGAGCCCCUGGGCAGGGCGGCAGCCACAGCCUCUGGGACGCAGUUCUGGGGACGCCCAGUGGGCCCAGGCCGAGCGCCAAGCGGCCGUUGUUGAGACCCGAGACCCCUGGUGGGUUUGUGCUCGUGUCCUGGGCAGCAGGUGCCCCGGGAGCAGCCCUGGGCCUCAGCGGGACUUGGGCAGGGUCUGUGCCGGCCGGGCUCCGGAACCUCGAUCCAGGACCAGGUGUUUGAAUGCCUCCAUUUCCACCCUCGGCCCUGUCCACGCCCCACCUCCGCUAACAUUCCGGCACAUUCUGGUGGGGCGGUUGCCGGAGUCACUCAGCUGGGGCUCCCACCUGCCUGCCACCCCUGAAUCCCCCUGAAUUCCCUUCACUCCAGGCUGUCCCUGGAGCGAGUGGCCUGCCCAGUGGAGGUGCCCUCACCUGUCACCUCCCUGGCCCUGCCGCCCCCAGGCCCCUGGUGACUCAGCUCCACAAUCCUCACAGCCCUGUCCUCCCCCAGGAGAGAGUGGGCGGCUUUGAGCCCUGGGGUGCUGGGAUCCUGUCGUUUAAACGGCUUCCACCUGCUGUCGCCUCCCACCUCCCUGAGCCCUCCGAGCGCCCGUGGCCAGAAGCAGAGCUGCAGGCACAGGGUCCCCAUGUCGUUGCUCCACCCCCACCCCCGCUUUCUCCUGAAAAGGAGGUCUGGCCCUCCCCCACCCCACAUUGCCCAGCCGAGCCUUAGGGACCACCUCCCCCAACGUGCAGACACAGCUUCCGGCAGCCUCCGAGAGGCUGCUUCUGGGGGACACGGGUACCGCAAGCCCAGGCUCUCCAGGGCCUGGACGAGGGGGCCUUCCUUCCUCGGACUGGGCACGGCUGGUGUCAGCAGACCCCUUCCCAAGGACUGUCCACAAUCCUGAGAGCAGAAGUGGCCCUGCAGCGGGGCCGAGGCCUCCAGGUUCUUGGCGGGAGCCGCCGUCGCUGUGGGGUCUGAGCCACCAGGACGAAGGCUCCGGUUGGUUAAUGCGCAGCCGGGAGGCAGAUACCACGUGAAAACCACGUGCUGGCCUCACUGCCCCCCCCCCCGCGCCCCCCGUGCUCACUCUCAUGGUCCCCAAGGUGGGGGCCGCGGCGCUGCUCUGGGCAGAGGUGCUCCUCCGUCCGCCCGACCUCUGCCUGCCACUGUUGGGAGCGCUUGGGGCAGAGGGACCCGGCAGGGGCUGCUGGCUCCUGGUUUGGAUCUUGGCUCAGGCUCCCUUGGGAGGCGGCGGGGUGAGCAGCUGUGGACCCCCCUCAGUCGGCUCACGGGACAGCCCUGCUGCUCCCCCCAGCCUCCCCAGGGGCUGCCCCCGUCCUGACACGGGUGUCUGGCACACGCUGGGUCUUUCGUAUAUCUGUGCCACGUGUGUUUGGAUCCCCGAACAGUAAAGUGUGUGGUUUUGCAUGAUUCUGAGCUUCCUACAAAUCCAAGCAUGUGGCACGAGGCGUCCUGCGAUCGGCUCUUUCCCACCCAGGACCACGUUUCCAGGGCGACCCACACGGUGCAGUGACUGCAGCUGCUUCCUCUCCACGCUGCGUCCUACUCUGCCGCGCGACCGCCGCACAGCACAGCGAUGGGCGUCCUCGUGCAGUGCCCUGGCACGUGUGGCCGCAAACCCGAGCAGGGACCUGCUCCCUCUUCCAUCACUCAGCCACCCUGGGGCAGCACAGUGGGCGGAGCAGCGGGGACAGGGCGGGUGGCUGAGAUUCCUCUGUGCCUGAUGGCGCUGACGGGCGGUCUGUGACUUCCGCGACGACAACGUUGCUCUACCCCCGCCAGGCCAGCUGGGAACAAAAGACUGACAACACCGAGUGGCGUCGGAAUCCUCACGUCCUGUGCGUGGGAGGUAAACUGACGCCACCACUCUGGAAAACCGUCUGGAAUGACUCAGCAAAGCUGGACGCAGACCCGAGGACCCGGCCAAUCCCCCACUGAGCACGGAUCCAGCAGAAACGCGCGUGAGAGCCAAAAUCAGACGCGGGCAGGAAUGUUCAGCCCCGUCUCAUUCAUACACUAGACUCCACCCACACGUCCCUCGACAGAAGGGGCAGCCCACAGUGUCCACCACUCGCUACUCAACCGCGGAAGGAGAGAUUCCUGCCGCCCAGAGCGGCAGAGCGCUGGAGGGUCAGAGGUCAGGGCGGAGGUGACCUCUGUGGGUAAUGACUGGGGGUCCCCAGGGGGCACGCGGGCUCUCGGUGGGUGCUGGGGAUGCUCUUGAUGUGGACCGUGGACACGCAGUGUGGCUACACAGGUGUGGACGCGUGCAAAGAUGCACUGAGCGAGAGACUUGGGAUUUGUGCCGUUCGU